This is a long non-coding RNA of Tribolium castaneum (red flour beetle), 1046 nucleotides long. RefSeq lists it as uncharacterized. Lineage: Eukaryota; Metazoa; Arthropoda; Insecta; Coleoptera; Tenebrionidae. The record is from RefSeq and is a predicted model, not a curated record. The transcript is spliced from 3 exons.
GAGCAAAACCACAACAAACACAAUAGGCAAAUACGGCGAGAAAUAGUAAAUAUUCUAGUUUCUUUUUGCACAACAAAACUCCAAGAACAACAAACAAUAGAAGAAAAAGAGACGAUAAUUUCAUUAGAAAAGAUGCUGCAGGGUGUGUAAACAGGAAAAGAAGAAAUGCAACGAUCUGGUCUAUUAAACAAAGCUUGCUGCAGAAAUGUAUGUGGCACUGUUUGUCUGAAGAGGAAAACAGAUUGGUGACUCAGAAAAAUAAAGUUUUAAUGUUCCGGGAUUGCAGAUCUGAAGAAAAAAAUUUGCUUUUUCAAAAACAGUCAAAUCACCAAGUUGAGCAGACGCACGUCACAAAGAAAAACAAAACGGUACAAAGAAGAAACGUAGGUCAAAGUUAGAAGAAUUUGAAUAAAAUUGCAUAAAAAAAAUAUUUAUUUAAAAGUAGGUAUGUUCAAAGUCACUGUUAACUUAUAAGAUUUAAGAAAUUGCGCAAGUAAUUAUUAUUUUGACAACAUAUUUUAUAUACCUUCCAAGUACAUAAAAUGUCACAUAACAACUAAAGUCUGUUCUUUUUUAAAUGUCAAAUAAUCUUUAACGUAGCUACCACAAAUUCAUACAUUUGUACUAAUUUUAUUUAAAAAGUUGUGAUUCAAUUUAUGAUUAAAUUUGAAAAACGUGAUGUUGAGACAUCGGCGAAAAAAUGGAAAACUACUACAUCAGGCACAAAAAUUAAGAGCUUAAAAUAAAAUAUUUUUUUUUAUUUUAUUCAUUAUUACAAAAAAAUAUAAAAACGGUAACAUGAGAUUGAAAAAGAACUGAAUUAGAGCAGGCCGUGUCUGGAUAAUUUUAGCCACAUGGCAAAACUUUUUCAAUUUUUUCAAAAAAUGACUAACCCUGUAGAGAAAAUUAAACAAUAUUGCCCAUACUCAUAAUGUCUCGAUUAUAUCUGUUUUGAUCCUCCGCAGAAAAACUUUUUUCUAUUUAAACACCUAUUUUUUAGCGAAAAGCCCAUUCACCACCAUUCAGUGUCUAUCAGUAGAAGUACA